This 271-nucleotide ribosomal RNA is filed under the name uncultured archaeon. RNAcentral's name for it is "partial 16S ribosomal RNA". It matches the Rfam family "Archaeal small subunit ribosomal RNA", at positions 477 to 747 of the family's 1478-position model. The record is from RNAcentral.
CAGCACCUCAAGUGGUCAGGAUGAUUAUUGGGCCUAAAGCGUCCGUAGCCGGGCCCGUAAGUCCCUGGCGAAAUCCCACGGCUCAACCGUGGGGCUUGCUGGGGAUACUGCGGGCCUUGGGACCGGGAGAGGCCGGGGGUACCCCUGGGGUAGGGGUGAAAUCCUAUAAUCCCAGGGGGACCGCCAGUGGCGAAGGCGCCCGGCUGGAACGGGUCCGACGGUGAGGGACGAAGGCCAGGGGAGCGAACCGGAUUAGAUACCCGAGUAGUCC